AAUGGGUCAUGUAUAACAUUCAAAGAGAGUUCACCCAUCUCAUCAACAAUAAGGUCAUCAAGCCUAGUGGGGACUUCUACGAACGUGUGGAACAAGUGGUGACUCGGGUUUACCCACAACAAUAGCUUCAAACUUGAAAUAAGAUACAUUUGUAUUCUUUAUAUGCUUCUAUGAAAUUUUGACACUUUGUAAUCAAUGUCGUGAAGUGAGAUACACUUGUAUUCUUUAUAUUGCUUUAAAUGAUGUGGCUUUAUAUACAUUUGUAUGCUUUAAAUGAUGUGGCUGUAUAUUUUUCUGUGCUGUGCUGUGAUGUAUUCAAAUAUAUAUUUUUCUGUGUAUUUUUUGUGGUUUUAAUUUUUUUUUAAUUACUGAAAAUGUAUCAGUGUCGGUCGCUCGCCCGACACUGAUGUGGCAAAGCGACCGUGACUGAUGUACCACCAUCAUCAGUGACGGUCACGUUUCCGCACCCGCCACUGAUGAUGAUAGGUA
This 489-nucleotide long non-coding RNA is filed under the name Brachypodium distachyon (stiff brome). Its description in RNAcentral is "long non-coding RNA (BDIS_LNC003828)". Lineage: Eukaryota; Viridiplantae; Streptophyta; Magnoliopsida; Poales; Poaceae. The record is from RNAcentral.